This 460-nucleotide ribosomal RNA is filed under the name uncultured bacterium. Its description in RNAcentral is "SSU rRNA". It matches the Rfam family "Bacterial small subunit ribosomal RNA", at positions 26 to 518 of the family's 1533-position model. The record is from RNAcentral.
AGAGUCAACGCUGGCGGCGUGCCUAACACAUGCAAGUCGAACGAGAAAGUGGAGCAAUCCAUGAGUAAAGUGGCGCACGGGUGAGUAACACGUGACUAACCUACCCUUGAGUGGGGAAUAACUUCGGGAAACCGAGGCUAAUACCGCAUAACACCUACGGGUCAAAGGAGCAAUUCGCUUAAGGAGGGGGUCGCGGCAGAUUAGUUAGUUGGCGGGGUAAUGGCCCACCAAGACGGUGAUCUGUAUCCGGCCUGAGAGGGCGCACGGACACACUGGAACUGAAACACGGUCCAGACUCCUACGGGAGGCAGCAGUGGGGAAUUUGCGCAAUGGGGGAAACCCUGACGCAGCAACGCCGCGUGGAGGAUGAAGUCCCUUGGGACGUAAACUCCUUUCGAUCGGGACGAUUAUGACGGUACCGGAAGAAGAACGCCCCGGCUAACUUCGCGCCAGCAGCCGC